RNAcentral lists this ribosomal RNA (529 nucleotides) under uncultured bacterium. Its description in RNAcentral is "bacterial SSU rRNA". It matches the Rfam family "Bacterial small subunit ribosomal RNA", at positions 8 to 526 of the family's 1533-position model. The record is from RNAcentral.
AGAGUUUGAUCAUGGCUCAGAGUGAACGCUGGCGGCAGGCCUAACACAUGCAAGUCGAGCGGCAGCGCGGAUGUAGCAAUACAUCUGGCGGCGAGCGGCGGACGGGUGAGGAAUGCGUCGGAAUCUGCCUAUUUGUGGGGGAUAACGUAGGGAAACUUACGCUAAUACCGCAUACGACCUACGGGUGAAAGUGGGGGACCGCAAGGCCUCACGCAGAUAGAUGAGCCGACGCCGGAUUAGCUAGUUGGCGGGGUAAAGGCCCACCAAGGCGACGAUCCGUAGCUGGUCUGAGAGGAUGAUCAGCCACACUGGAACUGAGACACGGUCCAGACUCCUACGGGAGGCAGCAGUGGGGAAUAUUGGACAAUGGGCGCAAGCCUGAUCCAGCCAUGCCGCGUGUGUGAAGAAGGCCUUCGGGUUGUAAAGCACUUUUGUCCGGAAAGAAAAGCAUUCGGUUAAUAACCGGGUGUCAUGACGGUACCGGAAGAAUAAGCACCGGCUAACUUCGUGCCAGCAGCGGCGGUAAUAC